Dromaius novaehollandiae (emu) is the source of this 1286-nucleotide long non-coding RNA. RefSeq lists it as uncharacterized. The transcript is spliced from 2 exons. The record is from RefSeq and is a predicted model, not a curated record. Lineage: Eukaryota; Metazoa; Chordata; Aves; Casuariiformes; Dromaiidae.
AAAUGGCUUUUUGUUAUAUGAAUGCCAUGGAAAUGUAUACUCUUUAUUGAGGUCCUGCAUUUGAUUUCCCAUCUCUAGAGUGAUAGAUCCUGUCUAGGUAAUUGGAAAAGAGCAUGCCAAGAGUUAUCUCACUCUAAACACAUUAGGAGCUGAGAUAAAUCCUGGACGAGCCAAGCUCACAGAAGAUGAAAUGUAGCAGAAACAACACCAAGUUUUCUAGUCACACAGAGGCAGUGGGACUGACUGCUAUUGCAAUAUGCAUGAGGAUAUACACAUCUGUACAGGUACUUGCAGAAAACUGGAGUCUCUCCUGCUAAUCCUUUUUCCAUUGCUAGAAGUUCCCACACGGUCUGGCAGCACACAGCUGGGACAGGCUGGAACAGCAUCUCUCACAUGGGCCUCUGCAGUGAAAGCUGAGACCAGAAACAGAUCCCAGGCAAGACACAGCUCCUCGAGGACAGUGCAGACUCAGAGUAGAAGCUCUCAGCUCCAGCUCAGCAUCCCACCAGCCUCCAGUUCAGUCUGAUCCCACAGUGGCCCUUCCACAUCCUGCCACAUCAUCAAUCUGCAAAGCACAUUCUUCAGGCGGGGCAACAAGGAGUGUGCAAGGAGGAUGGUGUCUGGUCAUCGCCGAAGCUCAGCCAUGACAUAUAUGCAAGGAGAAGAAAGAACUGGAUCUGGAACUUCAUUGUCCAUACUGACUGGCUUUUAAUUAAUGAUUUUUGGCUUGGGCCAGCUAGGACUGUCUCAUAGAAUACUUGUGUGCCUCUGAGUGCAUGAUCUUUUGGAUGCCUGGAUCAGGCCUUGGGAAACUUCUUGGCUGAUUUUGCCAAAGCUGCUGAAUUUCUUUGUAUCAGUUUAAGUGGAGCAAAAAUUUCUAUCUCAAACUGUGCAUCAUCUGCUUAGGCAAGGCAGGUCCUUCAAGGUGCUGGGUGUGUAAAUGGGAAAACAGAGAUCACCCAAAUCUCUUUGAGGAGCUGGGCCAAAGCUCUUUUGAGACUGGGUGGUUUCUUACUACGUAUGGAUAUGUAGAACUUCAUGAACCCCGAUCUUGGCUGAGAUCUAAGCAUUAAUAAUAGUUGUGCAAACUAGGAAUCAUUUUCUCAUAGUGACAUGUCAAAAAAUCCAUCCCACCCAUCCAGAAACAGAUUCUGUGGCUUAUUCCCAUGUUCUCCUGAUAGCAAAGUGUUCACACAACUUUACAUAUUCUAGGCAUGCUAAUGCUAAGAUCUAACACUUACUUUUGAAUAAAACAAAAUAUGUAAAAAUAAACGGAUGAAAAUGCU